GACGAACGCUGGCGGCGUGCUUAACACAUGCAAGUCGAACGGAAAGGCCCUGCUUUUGUGGGGUGCUCGAGUGGCGAACGGGUGAGUAACACGUGAGUAACCUGCCCUUGACUUUGGGAUAACUUCAGGAAGCUGGGGCUAAUACCGGAUAGGAGCUCCUGCUGCAUGGUGGGGGUUGGAAAGUUUCGGCGGUUGGGGAUGGACUCGCGGCUUAUCAGCUUGUUGGUGGGGUAGUGGCUUACCAAGGCUUUGACGGGUAGCCGGCCUGAGAGGGUGACCGGCCACAUUGGGACUGAGAUACGGCCCAGGCUCCUACGGGAGGCAGCAGUGGGGAAUAUUGCACAAUGGGCGGAAGCCUGAUGCAGCAACGCCGCGUGCGGGAUGACGGCCUUCGGGUUGUAAACCGCUUUCGCCUGUGACGAAGCGUGAGUGACGGUAAUGGGUAAAGAAGCACCGGCUAACUACGUG
Molecule: ribosomal RNA, 468 nt
Filed under: uncultured bacterium
Lineage: Bacteria
Description: partial 16S ribosomal RNA
Rfam family: Bacterial small subunit ribosomal RNA
Source: RNAcentral